RNAcentral lists this ribosomal RNA (402 nucleotides) under uncultured bacterium. RNAcentral's name for it is "bacterial SSU rRNA". It matches the Rfam family "Bacterial small subunit ribosomal RNA", at positions 355 to 774 of the family's 1533-position model. The record is from RNAcentral.
UGGGGAAUAUUGCACAAUGGGCGAAAGCCUGAUGCAGCAACGCCGCGUGAGUGAUGAAGGCCUUCGGGUUGUAAAGCUCUGUCUUCUGAGACGAUAAUGACGGUACCAGAGGAGGAAGCCACGGCUAACUACGUGCCAGCAGCCGCGGUAAUACGUAGGUGGCAAGCGUUGUCCGGAUUUACUGGGCGUAAAGGAUGCGUAGGCGGAUACUUAAGUCAGAUGUGAAAAUCCCGGGCUUAACUUGGGAACUGCAUUUGAAACUGGGUAUCUAGAGUGCGGGAGAGGAAAGUGGAAUUCCUAGUGUAGCGGUGAGAUGCGUAGAGAUUAGGAAGAACACCAGUGGCGAAGGCGACUUUCUGGACCGUAACUGACGCUGAGGCAUGAAAGCGUGGGGAGCAAACA